Molecule: ribosomal RNA, 242 nt
Filed under: Bacillus cereus
Lineage: Bacteria; Bacillati; Bacillota; Bacilli; Caryophanales; Bacillaceae
Description: partial 16S ribosomal RNA
Rfam family: Bacterial small subunit ribosomal RNA
Source: RNAcentral
UUCCGCCUCUUAGUUCAGAAGUCACCCCAUUAAGCAUUCCGCCCGGGGAUUACGGCCGCAAGGCUGAAACUCAAAGGAAUUGACGGGGGCCCGCACAAGCGGUGGAGCAUGUGGUUUAAUUCGAAGCAACGCGAAGAACCUUACCAGGUCUUGACAUCCUCUGACAACCCUAGAGAUAGGGCUUCUCCUUCGGGAGCAGAGUGACAGGUGGUGCAUGGUGUCGUCAGCUCGUGUCUGACAUG